UCAGAUUGAACGCUGGCGGCAGGCCUAACACAUGCAAGUCGAGCGGUAACAUUUCUAAGCUUGCUUAGAAGAUGACGAGCGGCGGACGGGUGAGUAAUGCUUGGGGAUCUGCCUGAUGGCGGGGGACAACCACUGGAAACGGUGGCUAAUACCGCAUAAUACCUAUGGGUCAAAGUGUGGGACCUUCGGGCCACACGCCAUCAGAUGAACCCAAGUGAGAUUAGCUGGUUGGUAAGGUAACGGCUUACCAAGGCGACGAUCUCUAGCUGGUCUGAGAGGAUGAUCAGCCACACUGGGACUGAGACACGGCCCAGACUCCUACGGGAGGCAGCAGUGGGGAAUAUUGGACAAUGGGGGCAACCCUGAUCCAGCCAUGCCGCGUGUGUGAAGAAGGCCUUCGGGUUGUAAAGCACUUUCAGUGGUGAGGAAGGUGGUGUCGUUAAUAGCUUGCGAGAUUGACGUUAGCCACAGAAGAAGCACCGGCUAACUCCGUGCCAGCAGCCGCGGUAAUACGGAGGGUGCGAGCGUUAAUCGGAAUUACUGGGCGUAAAGCGCACGUAGGCGGUUUGUUAAGCAAGAUGUGAAAGCCCCGGGCUCAACCUGGGAAUUGCAUUUUGAACUGGCAGGCUAGAGUUUUGAAGAGGGUGGUAGAAUUU
RNAcentral lists this ribosomal RNA (656 nucleotides) under uncultured bacterium. RNAcentral's name for it is "bacterial SSU rRNA". It matches the Rfam family "Bacterial small subunit ribosomal RNA", at positions 24 to 669 of the family's 1533-position model. The record is from RNAcentral.